Molecule: transfer RNA, 76 nt
Filed under: Candidatus Peregrinibacteria bacterium
Lineage: Bacteria; Candidatus Peregrinibacteriota
Description: tRNA-Lys
Rfam family: tRNA
About the family: Transfer RNA (tRNA) molecules are approximately 80 nucleotides in length. Their secondary structure includes four short double-helical elements and three loops (D, anti-codon, and T loops).
Source: RNAcentral
GGAUCGGUAGCUCAGUUGGUAGAGCAGAAGACUCUUAAUCUUUUGGUCGAGGGUUCGAGUCCCUCCCGGUCCACCA